GUUAAUUCACCAUUCAUGGCAUUCCUAGUUACCAAGACUCUAUUCAGACCAACAACUGAGGACAAUGCCUUAGUAACCAAGGAACACUAAUCUAAGGAACUAUCAGUGACUGUUCGGCAGCUAAACAGUAUCUGAGAAGCCUGGAUUUAGCGGUACAUUUGGAGGCAAAUCUUCAACUAUAAAUAUAAAAAAUAUACUAUUAAGAGGCCUCCCUCAAAGCAGGCAAUUUAUGUCACGCUGAAAGACGCAAUUUUCCGCUGGAUCCCGUUUGAUGGCAUUCAUACCCAGGUUGUGUCCUUCUGGUGGGGCAAUCUGUAAUACCCCCUGCCCUACACCCGCUUUCAAGGAAGAAUCAUUGGCUGAGUUGCUUCCGAUUGUCUGCAUGUCAGUGGUGUUAACUGCCACGUAUCCUCAAUUUACUCAGCGAGAACUGGAAUUGAAAAUAAGAAGUGGAGUGAUUCAAAAGUGGCCUCUCCUCCAAAACCGGCCUGAAAAAGCAGAGGAAUUUCCAGGGCUUGAUCGUAAUGUCCUCACGACCGACUCGAAAGGACACGCAGCGUUUGGGAAACCUACCCAGGGAUACUUUAGAGACUUGUCACAUUUACAGAAGCAGCUUGUUUCAGGAAACCCAAAUGGGGGGCAGCUCGCUACAUGCCCCUCAGGAAUGAGAUCAGCCGUGAGAUCAGCCAAGUCAAAUUAUCAACUGGACAAACCCAAUCCCACCCAGAAAACAAUACAGAAGACAAGAUAUCAGUUGUUCCCCCCACUAACGGAUGCCUGGACCCAACAAGAUGCAAUGCAGAGGUCACUCAGAUUAAGAAUUUAAUGCAGCAGGAGAUGCAUUGCUAGAAUUUGUAUUAUUAAAAGAAACAGGUUCAUAUUAUAUCUUAAUUUGCUUCCACGAGAGAGAGAGACUAAAAUUAGCACAUUUACGUCUUCCAGAAAGCUUGAAUGAACUAGCGGCUUGGAAACGAAAGAUCUACUUAUUCAGGGGCCACUGCUUAGGGCCUCUUUUGGUCUAAUGGGAUCCUUGGAGGGUCAAGCGGAGAUGCAGAAUAGUUGAAAACGAUAUAAUGCUGUAAUAUAGUUUUCUUACAAAUAAAGCUCUUUCGUUUAUGCGUAA
Molecule: long non-coding RNA, 1123 nt
Organism: Spea bombifrons (plains spadefoot toad)
Lineage: Eukaryota; Metazoa; Chordata; Amphibia; Anura; Pelobatidae
Exons: 2
Source: RefSeq, a predicted model, not a curated record